Molecule: ribosomal RNA, 3453 nt
Filed under: Triticum aestivum (bread wheat)
Lineage: Eukaryota; Viridiplantae; Streptophyta; Magnoliopsida; Poales; Poaceae
Description: partial small subunit ribosomal RNA
Source: RNAcentral
AUGGACGCGCUCUCCCUCAUCGACGUCUCCGGCGAGGAGGACGACUUCCUCCUCGACCUCGCCUCGCCGCCGCAGCACCCCGACCCGCCCCCCCGCGCCGCCCCAGGGGUUUCGGUGGUGGCCGCCGUUUCGGAGCGGAACACCGUCGGAUCUCCUCCUCCUCCGGCGGUGGCGGCGGGCGGGCAGGUCGUGGAUCCCGCGGAGCAGGGCCCGGAGCGUGCGCAGUCCCCGAAGAAGACCAAGCCAAAGGGCGGCGUCAACCUCCGCAAGAGCCUCGCCUGGGACAAAGCCUUCUUCACCAGCGAAGGUGUUCUCGAUACUGAGGAAUUGGGCAUUGUGAACAGCACUUUCCGCAAGUCGCAGGGUUCUAGGCUGCUGCCAGGAAUAGCAGAGGAAAUGAGGAGGUCAAUGGAGUCCACCACCUCCUCGCUGGAAAGUGAAAGCUUUGUGCUGGAAAGCCUUGAGACUGAGCUGUUUGACAAUGUCCGUGCUUCGAUUCAGAGGACACUUGGGAAACCUGAUAAAGCUCCAGUUGUCCCAUCUGCUAGCUCAAAAACCCCUAGGGCCACAGCAAAGGCGCCUCCUGUCACAGCGAGAAAGGGAGUUGAUCGGAUACCUCAGACUCAGAGCAAGAUAAGGCCCCCUGCUUCAACAAGCAAUGGUUCUGUUGGUGGUAGCAAACAAAGGCCCCAAGUCACCCUGAAAGAGCCUGCAGCUGCAAGAGUGGCUGUAUCGAAAGCUGCAGAAGCAAAACCAUCCUCAAAACCUCCCAGAGCUCUGCCAAGAGUUGCUACAAUGAGAGCACCGACUACCACAGCUGUCACCUCUGGGAUUUCAGACAAAAGAAGUAGCACCGGAGGUGUAGUCAACAGGCAGGCAGUUGCCAAGUCUGCUAACAGUUCAGCCAGCGUGCCAUCUCGGCCUGGUGGGGGGACAAAGAACAACUCAACCUCAAAAUCUGGUGCUUUGUCCUCAGCAGCAAGUCCUUCCUUGCGUAGUGCUCCCAUGGCAGGUGGGAAAACAAAGUCACCGACCCUAAUCAGCAAGAACAGGACUGCCCAGAGGAUCCCUAUUCGUUCAUCAUCAAGAUCUGAUAUCAGCAAGGUUGAUCCAGCAAGGGCAUCAAGAAAUAAGAGUCACGGCGAGGGUGCAUCACCGACCAUUUCACCUAGCAGCUCCGUGGACAGCAUGAGUUCUGUGAUUUCUGGGGUUUCAACAGCAUCCACUGUAGGGAGAGCGAGUCAUACAUCUGAGACCUAUAGUACAAGGUCAUCUUCAUUGUCCCCUUCCACCAGAAAGAGCAAUGACCACCCUCCAACCACACUACGGAGGCCUGGUAUUGUUACAGAAGGACAGGCUUCAGGAGCAUUUGCUGAUAAUGUGAAAUCUAAUGUCGACACAUCAACCCAAGGAAAUGGUUUUAAACCAUCUGGUCUACGAAGGCCUACACCCAAGAUUGGAUAUUUUGAUGCCGAGAAAUCUGUUGAACAAAAAGCCGGUGCACGGGCACAACUGCAACCCACGAAGGUUCUGUUUUCACCGUUGGCCACACAGAACUCUUGGAUUCCUUCUACUCCGAAGACAAUCCCUGCAGCUCUUACCUUUGAGCAAGAAGAGCCAAAAUCUAGGGCAGCAGCACCUUCUCAAACCAAGGCGCCGCCUUCACUGCCUCUCAAAGUUGCACAAACUGAAGUAAAACCAUCAAAGGUGACAGAGCCUGAAGCUUCUCAAGCUAAGGUAUCAACUCCACUGCCUCUCAGAGUUGCACAAACUGGAGUAAAACAAUCAAAGGUGACCGAGCCUGAAGCUUCUCAAGACAAGGCAUCAACUCCACUGCCUCUCAGAGUUGCACAAACUGAAGUAAAACCAUCAGAGGUGACAGAGCAUGACGCUUCUCAAACUAAGGCAUCGGCUUCGCUGCCCAUCAGAGUUGCACAAGCUGAAGUAGACCCAUUGAAGGUGGCAGAACAUGAAGCUUCUCAAACUGAGGUAUUGCCUAUACUGUCUCCCAGAGUUGCACAGACUGAAGUAGAACCAGCAAAGGUGGCGGAGCAUGACUUUUUUGGAACAAAGGGGCCUUCAAUGCCUUUAAUUAGAGCUGCUCAAACUGAAAUAGAAACACCAAAGGUGUCAGAGCUUGAAGCACACGUGAAUGAGACUGGCUUGUUGCUCGCCCACAUGCAGGAGACUGGUCCAUUGGUAGUCGCCAUGGACAGUGCAGAGGAGGGCAUUCCAGCUCUGCAUCAGAAUGUCCAGGCCAAUGGUGAAGUAGAAUCAUCAAAGGUGUCUGAGCUUGAAGCACACGUGAAUGAGACUGGCUUGUUGCUCGCCAUGGAGAUUGCAGAGGAGGGCUUUCCAGCUUUGCAUGAGAAUGUCCAGGUUAAUGGUGAAGUAGAAUCAUCAAAGGUGUCGGAGCAUGAAGCACACAUGCAGGAGACUGGUCUGUUGGUCGCUAUGGACAUUACAGAUGAGGAGGGCAUUCCAGCUUUGCAUGAGAAUGUCCAGGCUAAUGGUGAAGUAGAAUCAUCAACAGUUGAGCUGUCAUCAUGUACCUCUGGUCAGCAAGCAUCAGAAACUACAGCAGCACCUUGCGAGGAGAGCAGUCCUUCACAAAUCAAGGUAUCACCUUCUCUGCCACUUGGAGUUGCAAAAAUGGAAGUAGACCCACUGGAGGUGACUGACCAUGAAGUAGAAACAUCGAAGGUGUCGGAGCAUGAAGCAUACAUGCUGGAGACUGGCCAAUUGGUCGCCAUGGACAUAGCAGAGGAGGGCAUUGCAGCUUUAAAUCAGAAUGUCCAGGCAAAUGGCGAUAUCAGUUCAUCAACUGUUGAGCUGUCAUCAGGUACCUCUGGUCAGCAACAAUCAGAAGCUACAGCAGCACCUUGCGAGGAUAACACUUCUUCUCAAACUGAGGUAUCAUCUUCACUGCCUCUUGGAGUUGCAAAAGUGGAAGUAGAACCAGUGGAGGUGAUUGAGCAUGAAGCUUGCACGCCCCAGGCGGGCCCAGUGUUGGCAGCCAUGGAUAUUGCAAAGGAGAACAUUCCAGCCAUGGAUACCGCAAAAGAGAACGUCCAGCCUGGUGGUUAUUCGAGUCCACUAAAGGAGAACAUUCUGGCUCCGCAUCAAAAUAUCCAGCCUGAAGAGCAUAUGACUCCUGUAAAGGGAAGCAUUCUGGCCUCACAUACAAAUGCGCAGGCUAUAGGGGAGAUGACUCCAAUGACACUCUUGAGCCAGAAGCUGUCCUCCAUUUCUCUAGGACAAGCUAAUGGGGAGGCGACUCCAUUGGCCCAGAAGCUGUCCUCCAUUUCUCAAGGACAAGCUAAUGGGGAGGCGACUCCAUUGACCCAGAAGGCGCCCUCCAUUUCUCAAGGACAAUCUAAUGGGGACGCGACUCCAUUGACCCUAUUGGCGCAGAAGCUCUCCUCCAUUUCUCUUGGCGAUGUCACCGACUAG